UUGAAUAGUCGCAGCAUGCACACAAAAUUAAGACAUUACAACAAGUGAUGAUGAGCGAACACCCACAAUAAACGAAAAUACAAAGAAAAGAGAGAUUCAAAUUCAACUUUAACGCUCAAUCAUGCAUUCAUUCAUUCAUAAAUGGUAAAUAUAAACUAACUAGACAAAGAGAGAAAUAUUCCACGAGAUGGAUACGAUCAUGUGCGUGCGAGUGCAGAAUUAAGAAGCCUGGACCCCGCUGAUUUGUUGCUGUCCGUAGUCCUUGAUCUCACGCGCCUUGUCCAUGAUCUUGUGACGCGCGCUGUCUAACUGAUCCGCGCCAGGUGGUUGCUUGCCGGUGACGUACCUGUAGAUCCACGCCAGCACCGUGAUCGCCGCCACACCGAACCCACUCGAGGCGAGGAACCCCAGGCUCAGGAGCGCAACGGUGAUUACGGCGGGGACGAGAACCGGACUGAAAAUGACGAACAGCGGGGUGACGAUGGUGAGGGCAAUGACGGUGGCGGCGAGGAUCAACGAGGCGAGGAUCAAGAGGGAGCCGCCCGCUGUGACGGCGGUGGCGGCCUUGACGACCUGGUGGGUGGAGGAACGGGUUUGUUGGUGUGGAUCGUUAGGGUAGCGGAGGGGGUAUUGGUGUUGUGGUUGGUAGUGAAGCUCAGCCAUAAUGUGUGGGAAUUAUGAAAAUGAAAGAGAAGAGUUUUGAGUGAAGAGUGAGUGAU
Molecule: long non-coding RNA, 719 nt
Filed under: Glycine max (soybean)
Lineage: Eukaryota; Viridiplantae; Streptophyta; Magnoliopsida; Fabales; Fabaceae
Description: long non-coding RNA (GMAX_LNC002302)
Source: RNAcentral